GUGAUCAGAUUAUCUUAUACUGAAGAAGAGCAGAAUAAUCUGACAGGAACUGAGGGAGGAAACAUCACUCUGCCUGAUCCUGUACUGGAGAGAGGAUAUCUGUUAUAUGGAGGAAAUGUUAUUGCUCAGACCUGCAGAAGAGAGACUCUGGGAUUUAUAAAAUUGACUCUAAAAAAGGAGUAAUUUCUACUAAAUCCAUUUAUAGCCUCACAGUUUACGACUCUGUAGCGCCUCCUGCUGUCCAAACACUGAGUGUGAGCUCUGACAGCUGCUAUCUGCUGUGUGCUGUGGACAAAGCUGCAGAGAUCACACUGUGGUGGUACAAAGAUGAGGAGGUGGUGAACCAGAGCAGCUCUGCUGGAUCUCUGCCUCUCACUGUGACCAAACAGGACUUCAGCUCCUCUUACAGAUGUGUGGCUGGAAACCCUGCAGAAGAAAGGACUCUUCUAGUGGAUCUUCAGACGUUCUGUGGCGAGAGCUUCACUGGAGUGCAGAACAACACAGAAUCAAGACAUGGUUGGAUCAUAAUUGGAGUCUCUACUGGAUGUGCUGCACUUACAAUUGUGACAGUCGCUGCAUUUUUAAUCAGAGUCUCUAGACUCAACAACAGAAGUGGAGUACACUGGAGUAAAUAUCUGUGCUGACGGACACAGUCAGGGAGGAAAUUUCCCGGAUUCACCAGGAUCUGUUGAGCAGCUGUUGGUUUAUCACAUGAUAGAUCCAGACUCGGAAGGUCACGUCUGACAGCAAACAACACAGAAUCAGUGAUGGUGUUGAUGUCUCCUCAUUUAUACUGUUAGUCUGCCAAAGAAAGCAGUAAGUAUACAGUAUUCUCCUGAUGCCACAGUGAACCAGCUGGUAGCUUCUGAUGCCAUGUUCACAAAUCAUUUACUGCCUAGUCGAUCAUUACAGACUCAUUGUCUUCCUCAGAACUUCAGCUGAAGGUAUCUGGAUGUCUUUUCUGGUUCUUAUUUCAUCCAAGAGGCUUCUACAGUUCUAGUUAAUACAGUUCUUUAUUCUCUCCAUUAAAUCACGUGACUCACAGCCACAUAUUUUAAACCCAGUGAAGGUUUCUGUAGACUGAAGCUCAGCUGAGCUGUGAGAUCUUCAGUGUCAUUAAACCUCCACAUGGACAAAGUGGAACUCAGAACGUUGAACCUCUACAGAGGUAAUCAGAGCACUGAGCUGCUGGUUCACACAUGUGGACGACACUUCCAUCUAAACCAAAGAAGUGGAAACUUUUACAGAAAAUAUCAGCUCUGGGUAGAAACAUGAAGUCCAUCAGGUUCAGGUUGGCUCCAUCUCCUCAGGACAGAGGUAGGAGGUCAUGUUCACUGUCGUACAGCUUCUCUCUGGUUUCAGUUCUCUAAUGAUUGGACUCUUUCUCUUAAUCCCUGUCCGUUUGCUCAGAUGGUCUUCAUACAUCUUCCUCUACCUGCCUCUUGUUUUCUUUCUGUUCAUGCUGCCUUCAGUAAAUAAAUGCAACAAUUCAUUGUUUCUCGACAUGUGACCACAACACGAGAUCAUUCUUGACUUGAUGGCGUCCAUUAACCUGGUUUCCAGAAGCUUUGCGUUGCUGAUCUUUCUUGUCCAGCUGAUGUUUAACGUUCUUCUCCAGCACCACAACUCAAAUAUUUCCAGUCUUUUUGUCACUUCUUUGUUCAGUGUCCCAGUUUCUGAAGAACCGACCAGACAGCACAGAACCAAUGGCUUCCUGGUUGUUGUUGUAAACCUGUCAGAGCCAUCAAGGAGGAGUUCCACAGGAUUGCAG
Long non-coding RNA from Amphiprion ocellaris (clown anemonefish), 1771 nucleotides. NCBI's taxonomy places the organism in Eukaryota, Metazoa, Chordata, Actinopteri, Pomacentridae. The record is from Ensembl.